RNAcentral lists this ribosomal RNA (483 nucleotides) under uncultured bacterium. RNAcentral describes it as "partial 16S ribosomal RNA". It matches the Rfam family "Bacterial small subunit ribosomal RNA", at positions 28 to 507 of the family's 1533-position model. The record is from RNAcentral.
GACGAACGCUGGCGGCGUGCUUAACACAUGCAAGUCGAACGCUGAAGCUCAGCUUUUGUUGGGUGGAUGAGUGGCGAACGGGUGAGUAACACGUGAGUAACCUGCCCCCUUCUUUGGGGUAACGCCCGGAAACGGGUGCUAAUACUGGAUAUUCACUGGUCUUCGCCUGGGGGUUGGUGGAAAGGGUUUUUCUGGUGGGGGAUGGGCUCGCGGCCUAUCAGCUUGUUGGUGGGGUGAUGGCCUACCAAGGCUUUGACGGGUGGCCGGCCUGAGAGGGUGACCGGUCACAUUGGGACUGAGAGACGGCCCGGAGUCCUACAGGGGGAGGCAGUGGGGAAUGUGGCACAAGGUGCGCAAGCCUGAUGCAGCGACGCCGCGUGGGGGGUGGAGGCCUUCGGGUUGUGAACCUCUUUCGCUCAUGGUCAAGCCGCGACAAUGGUUGUGGUGAGGGUAGUGGGUAAAGAAGCGCCGGCUAACUACGUG